RNAcentral lists this ribosomal RNA (434 nucleotides) under uncultured Lachnospiraceae bacterium. RNAcentral's name for it is "bacterial SSU rRNA". It matches the Rfam family "Bacterial small subunit ribosomal RNA", at positions 341 to 792 of the family's 1533-position model. The record is from RNAcentral. Lineage: Bacteria; Bacillati; Bacillota; Clostridia; Lachnospirales; Lachnospiraceae.
ACGGGAGGCAGCAGUGGGGGAUAUUGCACAAUGGGGGAAACCCUGAUGCAGCGACGCCGCGUGAGUGAAGAAGUAUUUCGGUAUGUAAAGCUCUAUCAGCAGGGAAGAUAAUGACAGUACCUGACUAAGAAGCCCCGGCUAACUACGUGCCAGCAGCCGCGGUAAUACGUAGGGGGCAAGCGUUAUCCGGAUUUACUGGGUGUAAAGGGAGCGUAGGCGGCCAUGCAAGUCAGAAGUGAAAACCCGGGGCUCAACCUCGGGACUGCUUUUGAAACUGUAAGGCUAGAGUGUCGGAGAGGUAAGUGGAAUUCCUAGUGUAGCGGUGAAAUGCGUAGAUAUUAGGAGGAACACCAGUGGCGAAGGCGGCUUACUGGACGAUAACUGACGCUGAGGCUCGAAAGCGUGGGGAGCAAACAGGAUUAGAUACCCUGGUA